UCGGUAAUUCCAGCUCCAAUAGCGUAUAUUAAAGUUGUUGCGGUUAAAACGUUCGUAGUUGGAUUUCUGUUCAGGACAUCCAGUCCGUUCUCUGAGCGUGUAUUGGUUUGGCCUGGGCAUUUUUGUAGGGAACGUAUCUGCUCUUGAUUGAGCGGUGCGGAACCUACAACUUUUACUUUGAGGAAAUUAGAGUGUUUCAAGCAGGCUUCUGCCUUGAAUACGUUAGCAUGGAAUAAUAAGGUAGGACCUUAGUUCUAUUUUGUUGGUUUCUAGAGCUGGGGUAAUGAUUAAUAGGGAUAGUUGGGGGCAUUCGUAUUUAACUGUCAGAGGUGAAAUUCUUGGAUUUGUUAAAGACGAACUACUGCGAAAGCAUUUGCCAAGGAUGUUUUCAUUGAUCAGGAACGAAAGUUAGGGGAUCGAAGACGACCAGAUACCGUCCUAGUCUUAACCAUAAACUAUGCCGACUAGAGAUUGGAGGUCGUUAUUUACGACUCCUUCAGCACCUUAUGAGAAAUCAAAGUCUUUGGGUUCCGGUGGGAGUAUGGUCGCAAGGCUGAAACUUAAAGGAAUUGACGGAAGGGCACCACCAGGAGUGGAGCCUGCGGCUUAAUUUGACUCAACACGGGA
Molecule: ribosomal RNA, 627 nt
Filed under: uncultured marine eukaryote
Lineage: Eukaryota
Description: SSU rRNA
Rfam family: Eukaryotic small subunit ribosomal RNA
Source: RNAcentral